This is a non-coding RNA of Triticum urartu, 691 nucleotides long. NCBI's taxonomy places the organism in Eukaryota, Viridiplantae, Streptophyta, Magnoliopsida, Poales, Poaceae. The record is from RefSeq and is a predicted model, not a curated record.
UUUCCCCUGAGUUCAUGUUAGCUACAUUGCCCUGUAUCGCAGCAAAGAUUUUUUCUUGUGUACUACAACACAGCUUUUUUCAUGUAAUUUCCUCAUGGUUCAUGUUACCUACAUUGCCCUAUACUGCAGCAAAGUUUUUUUUUCAUGUGUACGUUACACUGGAAUUCGUGUUGGUGUAGUGUUUUGACAGUGAAAUAUUAACAGUUUUAACUUCCGACAGUUAGAAUUUUUCCCCUGAUGAUUCCAAAAUUCUCACUAGAUUGUAUGAUGGUUUUUUUGCAGGCUAGUUCAUGUAGCAGGUGUAUGUAGAGCAGCAGGGUGAGGAAAAACAUGGAAGAGUUCAAUAGAAGUGUGAUCAAAAGGAGUAGGACAUUUCGUGAGCUGUGGACCGUCUCUUGGAUGAUCUUCCUUUGUCCACCACCAAUUAUUCAGAUCUGUUCUUCCCCCUUGCUUCUCUCCAGGUGAUUUGUUGUCCAGGAAAGGAAAAAAGAGCGUGGGCAACGGUCCAGGAGGGUUUGGUGAUAGUUGCCUUGUUUUGUUUCGGUUAUUAGUUAGAACUGGGUCAGAUUUUAGCCACACGACCCCUUUUUUGGAAAUACAAGCAUACAAUUGUCCAUGGUAUUUGGACAUAGGUGUCAGCACUUGAUUUAUCAGGAAAUUUGACUAUAAUAUAGUGCUUUUUACCUUUGUA